UGAGGAAUAUUGGUCAAUGGACGGGAGCCUGAACCAGCCAAGCCGCGUGAGGGAAGAAGGCGCUCAGCGUCGUAAACCUCUUUAGCCGGGGAACAAAGAGCUGCUCGGGAAGCAGCGUUGAGCGUACCCGGAGAAUAAGCAUCGGCUAACUCCGUGCCAGCAGCCGCGGUAAUACGGAGGAUGCGAGCGUUAUCCGGAUUUAUUGGGUUUAAAGGGUGCGCAGGCGGACGCGCAAGUCUGCGGUCAAAUUCCGGGGCUCAACCCCGGACCGCCGUGGAAACUGUGCGACUAGAGUGGGCGAGAGGCAUGCGGAAUGCGCGGUGUAGCGGUGAAAUGCUUAGAGAUCGCGCAGAACUCCAAUUGCGAAGGCAGCAUGCCGGCGCCUUACUGACGCUCAUGCACGAAAGCGUGGGGAUCGAACAGGAUUAGAUACC
Molecule: ribosomal RNA, 434 nt
Filed under: uncultured bacterium
Lineage: Bacteria
Description: bacterial SSU rRNA
Rfam family: Bacterial small subunit ribosomal RNA
Source: RNAcentral